Molecule: long non-coding RNA, 646 nt
Organism: Gadus macrocephalus (Pacific cod)
Lineage: Eukaryota; Metazoa; Chordata; Actinopteri; Gadiformes; Gadidae
Exons: 3
Source: RefSeq, a predicted model, not a curated record
UGUGAAUCUAGUCCGCUGGUGGGAGGGCGCUGGAACACAAACCUCCAGCGGAAAAAAGUUAGGGUCAGUUUUUGAUGUAGUAGUUGGGACUUCCGUGCGUACUGACAGUCUUGUAUGCAGCCUGUCGAAUAUGUCUCGGUUUGCGGAUCAUAUAGGGUUACCUCAGAAAGUUGCAUCAGUAACCAGGGUGUUGGUGUGCUUUUUACUCAUUUUUCCAUCCAUUACCGGAGCCGGACUGUACACCGCUUCUGAUCAGAUAUUGGUGUUAACCCCGCAAAAUGUGAACUCGGCACUGAUUAACUCCACGGCUGCAGUGGUGGUGGAGUUCUACGCUUCGUGGUGUGGUCACUGCGUACACUUUUCUCCUGUUUACAAAAGUCUUGCAAGAGAAAUUAAAGAGUGGAAGCCUGCUGUGUACCUGGCCGCCAUAGACUGUGCCGAGAACAUUGAGGUCUGCAGGGAUUACGGCAUCUCAGGCUACCCGAGCAUUAAGUUCUUCAAUGCCUACUCCACGAAUGCUUCUAUGGGAAAAUACAUCCGAGGUAAUUCAACUGUCAGUGCCAGGGAAACAAAUGGACCCAGUGUAUUUAAACCCGGUUGUUUUUAAACUCAUGUUGACCUAAUUAACCAUCCCCACCCUUUGAUA